This 76-nucleotide transfer RNA is filed under the name Actinotignum urinale. RNAcentral's name for it is "tRNA-Pro". It matches the Rfam family "tRNA". Rfam says of the family: Transfer RNA (tRNA) molecules are approximately 80 nucleotides in length. Lineage: Bacteria; Bacillati; Actinomycetota; Actinomycetes; Actinomycetales; Actinomycetaceae. The record is from RNAcentral.
CGGGACGUGGCGCAGUUGGUAGCGCACCCGCUUUGGGAGCGGGGGGUCGUGGGUUCAAGUCCCGCCGUCCCGACCA